AGCAUUCUGGUAGCUAUGAGCCAUGGGCGGUAGCGUG
RNAcentral lists this non-coding RNA (37 nucleotides) under Kluyvera cryocrescens. Its description in RNAcentral is "JUMPstart RNA". It matches the Rfam family "JUMPstart RNA". Lineage: Bacteria; Pseudomonadati; Pseudomonadota; Gammaproteobacteria; Enterobacterales; Enterobacteriaceae. The record is from RNAcentral.